GGCCGGUUGGCGCAAUGGUAGCGCGUAUGCCUCCUAAAACAAGUACAGCAUAAGGUUGCGGGUUCGAGUCCCGUGCUGGUCG
RNAcentral lists this transfer RNA (82 nucleotides) under Diplodia corticola. RNAcentral's name for it is "Botryosphaeria corticola tRNA". It matches the Rfam family "tRNA". Rfam says of the family: Transfer RNA (tRNA) molecules are approximately 80 nucleotides in length. Their secondary structure includes four short double-helical elements and three loops (D, anti-codon, and T loops). Lineage: Eukaryota; Fungi; Ascomycota; Dothideomycetes; Botryosphaeriales; Botryosphaeriaceae. The record is from Rfam by way of RNAcentral.